AGCUGGCGGGUCCAUCAACGGCCGUUCCAGGCAGAGGAGAAGGCUUGAUUGCGCCAAAGACUCCAGACAUCGAAUCCUUGCUCCGAGGGGAAAUCAUCGAAAACGACGGUGAAUGUCCGACAGGCACCCGCUAUUGGUAACACUGGACAAGUCGGAUAUCCUUGCUUGGAUCCUUUUAAAGUUGCCCGAUAAACUGCUGAGAGUUGAUCUCUCCUCUUGUCCAAAGGUUUUUCGUUCAUUUUUACUUGUAAUACUGGCACUAGGGUUGAUGUAGUAGCUCCACAACAUAACCUUAAAGCCUGUGACUGGAUCCGGUCUAUUUUCCCAAGUCAUGUUUUUGAAGCAGAUUGGUAAAUAAUGCAUCCGUAAUCAAUAACAGAUGGAAUUAAAGUUAUAAA
Nerophis ophidion (straightnose pipefish) is the source of this 398-nucleotide long non-coding RNA. RefSeq lists it as uncharacterized. The record is from RefSeq and is a predicted model, not a curated record. Lineage: Eukaryota; Metazoa; Chordata; Actinopteri; Syngnathiformes; Syngnathidae. The transcript is spliced from 2 exons.